UCCAUGACUGCAUCCGGCCGCGGGCCGCCUUUGUUCCCUUGGUCCCCGGCAGCGGCCCGCCUCCCCCGCCGCGCGCCGGAGUUUUUCCAGGGCUCAACUGGAGCAUGGCGGUGCCGCCUCCCUCACUUCCCGACUCAGACCCCGGCCUCCUGUGCCCGGGCUCGGGCGGCGACCCCGGCAAGACCCCGAGAUCACCUGCGGGGAGCUGUGCCCUCUCCAGAUGCGCUGCUCGCUCCGUCCCUCCGGGUCCCUAAGCCCCACGUGUGCGCGCAAAGCUGACAGUCUCCUGGCCCGCACGCCUCCGCGCUUGGCGACCCGAGCCCCUCCCGGGCUGCAAGUUGGGGGACGGGGAUCAGGCGGGUGCGGAGCCGGGCCGCCAAUGCCUCCAGGUUGUGGAAGGGCCUCACGUUUUCCCCAAGGGGUUGGGGUGCAGUCCGGGCGGUAUGUUUGGUGGUCCCCAAACAUACCUGGAGGGGAACCCUGGAGCGCGCGCACACGGCCCGGCAAGCGGGGAGAUCACCCCCAGCCCUCCGCGCGCUCGCCGCGCCCGCCCCACGGGAAAAUGGGCACACUCGAGGGCAGUAAGCCCCGGAGCACCGAGAACCCCCUCCCAGCCAUCAGGAAGAAAAGGGAGAUAGGCAGGCAGAAAAGGGGCGUUGGGGAGAUGCAAGGGGCGCUGUAAUGUCCCAGGGAGUGAGGGCAGGAAUGGGGACUGUGUGACCGCGGCAAGCUGGGUCCUGUCGGCGCAGCGGUGCGUUCAGUUUGUGGGUGUCUCAGCCACCGGGGAAGCCUCCCAGCUAUUACCCAGCCAUGUUGGCGGGAAAAGUGUAAGAAACGCUAUGUUUGCUUCUGAGUGAGGUUUGCUAAGCCCUUCCAGAGAAGCCAGACAGGCAGGGUGGCCUUCAGCUGAGGUACAGGGGUGAAGGGACGAAUGUGCAGAGGAAGGGGUCCUGGGUUAAGAGGACGUCUGGUUCUGUGGGGUUUUGGAAUCUCUUGGGGCUCUCCUCAGACAGAGGAGAUAGAAGGUGCGUGUGGGAGGAAAAUGCAGAGUAAGGGACACCCAGAUCCAGGGAGGCUCAGCGCUGUCUCCCUGCCAGCAUCUAACCCCCUCCCUGGUGCAUUCUCUUGUUUCCUCAGCAGUAAUGGGGGAGCCUGACUUCUCUGAAAGGGCCCCUCCUCCAGUUGCAUCUUUGUCAGCUCUAUCUGCUUCCUCCCAGUGUUAAGGCCCCCUCCCUCCCAAGCCAUCGGAGCAUGAGGAAGCCUUGGUUCCACACAGCUGGGCUUCUUGCUCACAGGCUAAGGCAGAUGCCCUUUGCCCUUGUGAAGUUGGUGGGAAGUUGCAGAAGCUGAAACGGAGCCUGUGGCUGGGCACCAGCCCCUGGAAUAGAGGAACUUUCACUGAGAGCAAGCUGCGACGUUGGGGCUGCCUACAGAGGGAACAAGAAAUUGAGGCCUCUCCCUGAUGCCCCCAAGAAACUGAAUUCUGCCAACCACCUCAUGAGCUUGCAAGCAGAUUCCUCCCCAGUCAAGCCUCAGAUGAGACCUCAGCCCUAGCCAAUACCUUGAUGGCAGCCCUGCAGAAGUCCCAGUCCAGGAUGUCCAGACUUCUGUGAGAAACUGUGAUAUAAUAAAUGUGUACUGCUUUAAGCGGC
This is a long non-coding RNA of Myotis daubentonii (Daubenton's bat), 1652 nucleotides long. RefSeq lists it as uncharacterized. The record is from RefSeq and is a predicted model, not a curated record. NCBI's taxonomy places the organism in Eukaryota, Metazoa, Chordata, Mammalia, Chiroptera, Vespertilionidae.